Molecule: ribosomal RNA, 513 nt
Filed under: uncultured bacterium
Lineage: Bacteria
Description: partial 16S ribosomal RNA
Rfam family: Bacterial small subunit ribosomal RNA
Source: RNAcentral
GACGAACGCUGGCGGCAUGCCUAAUACAUGCAAGUCGAGCGAACAGAUGAAGUGCUUGCACUUCUGACGUUAGCGGCGAACGGGUGAGUAACACGUAAGGAAUCUACCUAUAAGCGGGGGAUAACAUUCGGAAACGGGUGCUAAUACCGCAUAAUAUCUUCUUCCGCUUGGAAGAAGAGUGAAAGACGGCUCUGCUGUCACUUAUAGAUGACCUGGGGGUGCAUUAGUUAGCUGGUGGGGUAAUGGCCUACCAAGACGAUGAUGCAUAGCCGGCCUGAGAGGGUGAUCCGCCACAGUGGGACUGAGACACGGCCCAAACUCCUACGGGAGGCAGCAGUAGGGAAUCUUCCGCAAUGGGCGAAAGCCUGACGGAGCAAUGCCGCGUGAGUGAAGAAGGCCUUCGGGUCGUAAAACUCUGUUAUAAGAGAAGAACAAAUUGUAGAGUAACUGCUACAGUCUUGACGGUAUCUUAUCAGAAAGCCACGGCUAACUACGUGCCAGCAGCCGCCGUAA